This 501-nucleotide ribosomal RNA is filed under the name Yarrowia porcina. RNAcentral describes it as "eukaryotic LSU rRNA". It matches the Rfam family "Eukaryotic large subunit ribosomal RNA", at positions 62 to 649 of the family's 3401-position model. The record is from RNAcentral. Lineage: Eukaryota; Fungi; Ascomycota; Dipodascomycetes; Dipodascales.
AAACCAACAGGGAUUGCCUCAGUAACGGCGAGUGAAGCGGCAAAAGCUCAAAUUUGAAACCUUCGGGAUUGUAAUUUGAAGAUUUGGCAUUGGAGAAAGCUAACCCAAGUUACUUGGAAUAGUACGUCAUAGAGGGUGACAACCCCGUCUGGCUAACCGUUCUCCAUGUAUUGCCUUAUCAAAGAGUCGAGUUGUUUGGGAAUGCAGCUCAAAGUGGGUGGUAAACUCCAUCUAAAGCUAAAUACUGGUGAGAGACCGAUAGCGAACAAGUACUGUGAAGGAAAGGUGAAAAGAACUUUGAAAAGAGAGUGAAAUAGUAUGUGAAAUUGUUGAUAGGGAAGGAAAUGAGUGGAGAGUGGUUGCGGUUUCAACCAGCCCUUGGGCUGGCCUAUUGCCAACGCCGAGUCAUUGUCCGCGAGACGGGAGCUAUAAACGGGUUACAUUUGUGUUUCUCACCUACCUCCCCCACUGCAGUCAACGACAUAAUCCACCCAUUUCACC